Molecule: long non-coding RNA, 618 nt
Organism: Dermochelys coriacea (leatherback sea turtle)
Lineage: Eukaryota; Metazoa; Chordata; Testudines; Dermochelyidae
Exons: 5
Source: RefSeq, a predicted model, not a curated record
CACUAGCAGAUGGGCUGCCGCUGUGCCACACUCAGCUUUGCACGCUCCAUUGUUUACCUCGAGUCAGUAUCCUGGAAGGGGCAGGGCACCUCCUGUGAGAUGGUGAGGAGCCUUAAAUUCCACUGACCUGAAUAAGGGUUGAAGUCAUUCAGCACUUUGCAGAACUGGGGCAUUGGAAUGGCAGAACUCUGAGGUAUUUGUACAGGCUCUAAACAUAUGUUUACCAUCUGUGGAAUUAUGGGAAGCAGCUGAGAUAAGGAACAACAGCUGUAGAAUAAAAUCAUGCCAUCAAUUUCACUUCACAGCGACAGGUCAGCUGUUACAACAAGAAAUGAAGUCCAGGCCCUUCCACCUCAGCACCCCAGCCAGACUCCAGCAGGAUCCUGGGAUUUUGAACGGUUAUGGACUGGUCAAAGAUGAAGCAUUUCCAUGAUGAACUUAUGGUAGACCUCCUGGACAGGGCCAACAAGCAGCAUCAUCUGCCGAAGAGUUAAUCCCCUUACAGAAUAUCCUGUCACAGGAGCAUCUUAUCAAGAGGAUAAUGUCAUCACUAAAUAAUUUGCCCAUAACCAUAAAAUAAUCUCAUCGAUAUUCCAGAGUCAAUUUCUCACAAAGAGA